This 1377-nucleotide long non-coding RNA is filed under the name Rhinopithecus bieti (black snub-nosed monkey). Its description in RNAcentral is "lncRNA (ENSRBIG00000045937.1)". The record is from RNAcentral. Lineage: Eukaryota; Metazoa; Chordata; Mammalia; Primates; Cercopithecidae.
UACUGAACUUGUUUGAUUUCUGAUUUUAUUUCAGCCGAUAUGUCAAAAUAUCUACUGAAACUGAAGAAACUGAAGGAUCCCUACACUGCUGUAAGGACCAAAAUAUUAAUGGGAAUGGCCCAAAUGGCAUACAUGAAGAAGGCUCACCAAGUAAGACUUUUCUGUUAAAUUGUAAAAUGUUUCACUUAAAUAAUUGCUUCAGAGAGAAAGUUAAGAAAAUGGGAAUUAAAGAGCUAAAAAAUACCUGCAAACCUACAACUAAUAAUAUUAAUAAUUUAAAAAUAUAACAUUGGGUUUAUUUAAAGUUCUCUAAUAUCUAAAAUUAGGUGAAAUGGAAACAGAUGAGCCAGAUGAUGAAUCCAGCCAGGAUCAAGAACUUCCCUCAGAGAAUGAAAACAGUCAGUCUGAAGAUUCAGUUGGAGGAGAUAAUGAUUCUGAAAAUGGAUUAUGUACUGAGGACACUUGCAAAGGUCAACUCACGGGACACAAAAAACGAUUGUUUACAUUCCAGUUCAACAACUUAGGCAAUACUGAUAUCAACUACAUCAAAGAUGAUACCAGGCAUAUAAGAUUUGAUGACAGGCAGCUUAGGCUAGAUGAAAGAUCUUUUCUUGCUUUGGAUUGGGAUCCUGAUUUGAAAAAAAGAUAUUUUGAUGAAAAUGCUGCUGAGGUAAGUCAUCACUCACUCACUCAUUUACCUUUCCUUGAUUUACUUUAUGUGAUUACCAGAGAUAAUCAUACUGUUGUGUUACAUUCUUUGCUUCCACCAAAUGUUCAUUUUGCCAGUAAAAAAUUGGUCAUGAACUAAAAAAGAAAGUCUUUGCAAAAAUACCUUUUUUUUUCAAAGGUUCAGAGUUCAUUUUGAACAUGUGUUGCUCAUCCAUAUAGGAGUGUACAGGAAUUAUUUAGAAGUAUGAUAUAAAUCUCGGCCGGGCGCGGUGGCUCAAGUCUGUAAUCCCAGCACUUUGGGAGGCCGAGAUGGGCAGAUCACGAGGUCAGGAGAUCGAGACCAUCCUGGCUAACACGGUGAAACCCCAUCUCUACUAAAAAUACAAAAACUAGCCAGGCGAGGUGGCGGGCGCCUGUAGUCCCAGCUACUCGGGAGGCUGAGGCAGGAGAAUGGCGUAAACCCGGGAGGCGGAGCUUGCAGUGAGCUGAGAUCCGGCCACUGCACUCCAGUCCAGGCGACAGAGCGAGACUCUGCUUCAAAAAAAAAAAAAAGUAUGAUAUAAAUCUCAACUGAAAUAAGCUUUAUGAUUCUUUUGAGAAAGUUUAGGAGUUUUCAUUAUUAUUCAUAGUAAGAUGGUACCACUAAAAUGAGUUUUGUUUCAUUUGUUCUCUUAACUCAAGAAAUACUUCUCUUUAGGACUUUGAAAA